UCAAAAUAAAUAAACUAAUAGCUAGCUUGCUGCCACCAACGUGGAGACUUAGUACUGCAUCCUGUUCUUAGUACUCAAAUGUCCCAACCUGAAGCUGAAGAAGUCACCCUGGCUGUACAUGCCGUCAGCCAUGACUGUGUAUGCUCUGGUGGUGGUGUCUUACUUCAUCAUCACUGGAGGAAUAAUUUAUGAUGUUAUUGUUGAACCUCCAAGUGUUGGCUCUAUGACUGGUGAACGUGGGCAUCAGAGGCCAGUAGCUUUCUUGGCCUACAGAGUAAAUGGGCAAUAUAUCAUGGAAGGACUUGCAUUCAGCUUCCUGUUUACAAUGGGAGGUUUAGAUUUCAUAAUCCCGGACCAAUGGAAUGCACCAAAUAUCCCAAAAUUCAAUAAACUUCUUCUUCUAUUCAUUGGAUUCCUCUAUGUCCUAUUGAUGUUUUUCAUGGCUAGAGUAUUCAUGAGAAUGAAACUGCUGGGCUAUCUGAUGGGUUAGAGUGCCUUUGAGAAGAAAUCAGCGGAUACUGGAUUUGCUCCAGUCAGUGAAGUUUAAAGGCUGUACCAAUCCUCUAAUAUGAAAUACAGAAAAGAAUGAAGAGCAGCAGUAAAAGAAAUACACAGUGAAAAUACAGGAAUCAUAUUGAAGCUUGGAGUAGAAUUUUUUCUUGGUAUUAAAGAGACAAGUUGAUCACAAUAUUUUUUUUUUCCUGCUGACCUAUUGCUAUACCAACGAUGUUGAGUGGUAUUUUCUUUUUAGUUUUUCAUUUCUUAAAGAAAAUAU
Molecule: RNA transcript, 775 nt
Organism: Sapajus apella (tufted capuchin)
Lineage: Eukaryota; Metazoa; Chordata; Mammalia; Primates; Cebidae
Gene name: oligosaccharyltransferase complex subunit OSTC pseudogene
Exons: 1
Source: RefSeq, a predicted model, not a curated record